GGGCGAGUGGUGAAACCCGGUAAACACGCAUGUUCGAGGGGCAUGUGCCGCAAGGCUUGAGGGUUCAAAUCCCUCCUCGCCCA
This 83-nucleotide transfer RNA is filed under the name Candidatus Azambacteria bacterium RIFCSPLOWO2_02_FULL_42_10. RNAcentral describes it as "tRNA-Leu". It matches the Rfam family "tRNA". Rfam says of the family: Transfer RNA (tRNA) molecules are approximately 80 nucleotides in length. Their secondary structure includes four short double-helical elements and three loops (D, anti-codon, and T loops). RNAcentral also lists the same sequence under 7 other names. Lineage: Bacteria; Candidatus Azamiibacteriota. The record is from RNAcentral.